CAAGAGCGUAUGUAAAAGUUGUUGCAGUUAAAAAGCUCGUAGUUGAACCUUGGGUUUGGUUGGCCGGUCCGCUUUUUUGCGAGUACUGGAUUCAACCGAGCCUUUCCUUCUGGCUAACCAGUCGUUUCGGCGGCUGGCGAACCAGGAUUUUUACUUUGAGAAAAUUAGAGUGUUCAAAGCAGGCAUUAGCUUGAAUAUAUUAGCAUGGAAUAAUAGAAUAGGACGUUAUGGUUCUAUUUUGUUGGUUUCCAGGACCAUCGUAAUGAUUAAUAGGGACGGUCGGGGGCAUCAGUAUUCAGUUGUCAGAGGUGAAAUUCUUGGAUUUACUGAAGACUAACUACUGCGAAAGCAUUUGCCAAGGACGUUUUCAUUAA
Molecule: ribosomal RNA, 374 nt
Filed under: uncultured eukaryote
Lineage: Eukaryota
Description: partial 18S ribosomal RNA
Rfam family: Eukaryotic small subunit ribosomal RNA
Source: RNAcentral